GAUGAACGCUGGCGGCGUGCUUAACACAUGCAAGUCGAACGAUGAAGCCCAGCUUGCUGGGUGGAUUAGUGGCGAACGGGUGAGUAACACGUGAGUAACCUGCCCUUGACUCUGGGAUAAGCCUGGGAAACUGGGUCUAAUACUGGAUAUGACUUCUCAUCGCAUGGUGGGGGGUGGAAAGAUUUAUUGGUCUUGGAUGGACUCGCGGCCCAUCAGCUUGUUGGUGAGGUAAUGGCUCACCAAGGCGACGACGGGUAGCCGGCCUGAGAGGGUGACCGGCCACACUGGGACUGAGACACGGCCCAGACUCCUACGGGAGGCAGCAGUGGGGAAUAUUGCACAAUGGGCGCAAGCCUGAUGCAGCGACGCCGCGUGAGGGAUGACGGCCUUCGGGUUGUAAACCUCUUUCAGUAGGGAAGAAGCGAGAGUGACGGUACCUGCAGAAGAAGCGCCGGCUAACUACGUG
RNAcentral lists this ribosomal RNA (466 nucleotides) under uncultured bacterium. Its description in RNAcentral is "partial 16S ribosomal RNA". It matches the Rfam family "Bacterial small subunit ribosomal RNA", at positions 28 to 507 of the family's 1533-position model. The record is from RNAcentral.